Molecule: ribosomal RNA, 460 nt
Filed under: uncultured bacterium
Lineage: Bacteria
Description: partial 16S ribosomal RNA
Rfam family: Bacterial small subunit ribosomal RNA
Source: RNAcentral
CCUACGGGAGGCAGCAGUGAGGAAUAUUUGUCAAUGGACGAGAGUCUGAACCAGCCAAGUAGCGUGAAGGAUGACUGUCCUAUGGGUUGUAAACUUCUUUUAUAUGGGAAUAAACUGUUCCACGUGUGGGAUUUUGUAUGUACCAUAUGUACAAUGAUCGGCCAACCUCGUGCCAGCCGCCGCGGUAAUACGGAGGAUCCGAGCGUUAUCCGGAUUUAUUGGGUUUAAAGGGAGCGUAGGUGGAUUGUUAAGUCAGUUGUGAAAGUAUGCGGCUCAACCGUAAAAUUGCAGUUGAAACUGGCAGUCUUGAGUACAGGAGAGGUGAGCGGAAUUCGUGGUGUAGCGGUGAAAUGCUUAGAUAUCACGAAGAACUCCGAUGGCGAAGGCAGCUCACUGGACUGCAACUGACACUGAGGCUCGAAAGUGUGGGUAUCAAACAGGAUUAGAUACCCCAGUAGUC